AUACGGAGGAUGCAAGCGUUAUCCGGAUUUACUGGGCGUAAAGGGCGUGUAGGCGGUCUUGCAAGUCAGAAGUGAAAUUCCUGAGCUCAACUCGGGCGCUGCUUCUGAAACUGCAGGACUUGAGUGCUGGAGGGGAUAGCGGAAUUCCUAGUGGAGCGGUAAAAUGCGCAGAUAUUAGGAAGAACACCGGUGGCGAAGGCGAUUACAUGGACAGUAACUGACGCGGAGCCGCGAAAGGCGGAGGAGAAAAAAGGAUUGAAUACCCUGGUAGUCCACGCAGUAAACGAUGAAUACCAGGUGUAGGGGGUAUCGACUCCCUCUGUGCCGCAGUUAACACAAUAAGUAUUCCCCCUGGGGAGUACGGCCGAAAGGUUGAAACUUAACGGAAUUGGCGGG
RNAcentral lists this ribosomal RNA (396 nucleotides) under uncultured bacterium. Its description in RNAcentral is "partial 16S ribosomal RNA". It matches the Rfam family "Bacterial small subunit ribosomal RNA", at positions 523 to 917 of the family's 1533-position model. The record is from RNAcentral.